CCUAAAACAAGGGGAGGAGAGUAGACGUGAAACACUAAACCGGGAGAAAGAAGAGAAGAAAGAAGUGUUCUUCCAGGAGGGUGAAGAAAUAGAUCGGGGGACCAAUGAAGAGAAGUAGAGUGUGUUCAGAGAAGAAGGAAGAGAAGAGAAGAAGUGAGAAGAGCUAUCGGUGUAUCUGCCUUAGAACUGCUAAUAAUCACGG
Molecule: ribosomal RNA, 202 nt
Filed under: Triticum aestivum (bread wheat)
Lineage: Eukaryota; Viridiplantae; Streptophyta; Magnoliopsida; Poales; Poaceae
Description: partial small subunit ribosomal RNA
Source: RNAcentral